UUAGAAUUGACGGACCCGCACAAGCGGUGGAUCAUUGUUGUUUAAUUCGAUGAUACGCGAAGAACCUUACCAGGUCUUGACAUCCCCUGCAAAGCUAUAGAGAUAUAGUGGAGGUUAUCAGGGAGACAGGUGGUGCAUGGUUGUCGUCAGCUCGUGUCGUGAGAUGUUGGGUUAAGUCCCGCAACGAGCGCAACCCUUAUCUUUAAUUGCCAGCAUUCAGUUGGGCACUUUAAAGAGACUGCCGGUGUUAAACCGGAGGAAGGUGGGGAUGACGUCAAGUCCUCAUGGCCUUUAUGCUUAGGGCUACACACGUGCUACAAUGGGUGGUACAAAGAGAAGCCAACUCGCGAGAGCGCGCCAAUCUCAAAAAGCCAUCCUCAGUUCGGAUUGGAGUCUGCAACUCGACUCCAUGAAGUUGGAAUCGCUAGUAAUCGCGGAUCAGCAUGCCGCGGUGAAUACGUUCCCGGGCCUU
Molecule: ribosomal RNA, 472 nt
Filed under: uncultured Smithella sp.
Lineage: Bacteria; Pseudomonadati; Thermodesulfobacteriota; Syntrophia; Syntrophales; Smithellaceae
Description: bacterial SSU rRNA
Rfam family: Bacterial small subunit ribosomal RNA
Source: RNAcentral